RNAcentral lists this long non-coding RNA (544 nucleotides) under Ricinus communis (castor bean). Its description in RNAcentral is "long non-coding RNA (RCOM_LNC003334)". The record is from RNAcentral. Lineage: Eukaryota; Viridiplantae; Streptophyta; Magnoliopsida; Malpighiales; Euphorbiaceae.
UCCUUAGCUUGCUUAAUUCUCUUUGUAAAGGAUUCACCAGUACUCCAAAAUCCGCUUUAUCUUCUUUCUAUUUAAGAAAAACAAAAAUGGAAAUCCGUUUUUUUCUCCGAUGCUCCUCAAUGAAGAAGUAAUGGCUGCCUCAUAAAUGAUUAAUCUGCCUGUAAUGUAAAAUCCCGAUUCCCGUCCCAUUCAAUAUUUUUAUUUGUGUUGGCUGCAGCAGGCAUUUCCCCAAGUGUCCGUAUUCGGAAAACAACGCGGCUUCUGCAGCGGAGUCCCCGUUCAAAGUUGCACACUUUUAGCAUAGCGACGGACGCGAGAGAAGAACGUGAAACUGAAAAUGACGCUCUCCAUCAUUUACUGUAUUUCUCUACAGCCUCCUCUCACAAUAUGUAAAUCCAAAACACUUCCAAAAAAGAAAAACAAGCGGCCAUAAAAACUAUGUGUGCACUCUCUAGUUUCUUUUUCUUUUCUUAAAUCUUAUGAGCUGACAAAAGGAAGAUUAAAAAUCUUCGUACAAAUACGAUUCCUGGAAUUUGUGCUUAAU